Molecule: unclassified non-coding RNA, 918 nt
Filed under: Centruroides sculpturatus (bark scorpion)
Lineage: Eukaryota; Metazoa; Arthropoda; Arachnida; Scorpiones; Buthidae
Description: down syndrome cell adhesion molecule-like protein Dscam2, transcript variant X3
Source: RNAcentral
UAAACGUUUUCUAAUUUUAUAACGAUUAUUUGAAUUAUUCCACGAAUGUAAACAGUGAAAGUUUGCUAACAGCAUGGCGUAUACAUUGAUAGUGGCUUCAGUCAUAAUCGUUGAAGUUUUGUCGCAAGAAGUGCCAAAAAUACAACCAUUUAAUUUUCCAAAACAAGUUGUGCUUGGCCAGAAAGUCAGUACAAUAUGCACAGCAAUUUCUGGAAAUCCUCCUCUAGAAUUUUCUUGGCUUAAAGAUGGUCGUGAAAUUAAUGAUAUUGAUAAAAUUAGUAUCCAAUCUUAUACUACUAGAGAUUCUUCGGUCUUACUCAUAGAAAAAGUAGAGACCGAUUCUGCAGGAAAUUAUACGUGUGUGCUUACUACUUCGUCCGGGAUCGAUAGAUUUUCUGCAAGUUUAUUAGUAAGAGCGCCAACGAAAUGGGUUCAAGAACCUUCAGAUCAAGAUGUAGUUGUGGGAACUUCACUAAUGCUAGAAUGUGAAGCAACAGGAUUACCUCCUCCGAAUGUUUCUUGGAGGAAAUUGGACGGAGCAUUGUCUCUUGAGUCAGAAUCACAGACAGGGAAGAAUUUAUUAAAUAUUGAGAAUAUUCGAGACAUAGACGAAGGCCAAUAUAUCUGUGAGGCUAAAAAUGGAAUAGGAGAUCCACUAAAUAAAAUAAUAUCUAUUACCGUUCGUGACGUGAUAUGCACUGUUUAAGAAGAUAUUGUUCAACGACAUAACUAUUCGGAAAAAUGAUUUAUAAAGACAUAGUGAAAGUACUGAUGAUUACUUUCUUGUCAUCAGUUGGAACAGGGCAAAAAAUAAGACCAUUUAACUUUCCUAAAACGGUGACUUUAGGAGAAAGAGUUACCACGACUUGUGCCACAAAUAGUGGCGAUGAUUUAGUGUAUAAAUGGUAUAAAGACGGU